CCUACGGGAGGCAGCAGUGAGGAAUAUUGGUCAAUGGACGAGAGUCUGAACCAGCCAAGUAGCGUGAAGGAUGACUGCCCUAUGUGUUGUAAACUUCUUUUAUAUGGGAAUAAAACGUUCCACGUGUGGGAUUUUGUAUGUACCAUAUGAAUAAGGAUCGGCUAACUCCGUGCCAGCAGCCGCGGUAAUACGGAGGAUCCGAGCGUUAUCCGGAUUUAUUGGGUUUAAAGGGAGCGUAGGUGGAUUGUUAAGUCAGUUGUGAAAGUUUGCGGCUCAACCGUAAAAUUGCAGUUGAAACUGGCAGUCUUGAGUACAGUAGAGGUGGGCGGAAUUCGUGGUGUAGCGGUGAAAUGCUUAGAUAUCACGAAGAACUCCGAUUGCGAAGGCAGUUCACUGGACUGCAACUGACACUGAGGCUCGAAAGUGUGGGUAUCAAACAGGAUUAGAUACCCGAGUAGUC
Molecule: ribosomal RNA, 460 nt
Filed under: uncultured bacterium
Lineage: Bacteria
Description: partial 16S ribosomal RNA
Rfam family: Bacterial small subunit ribosomal RNA
Source: RNAcentral